Molecule: transfer RNA, 85 nt
Organism: Felis catus (domestic cat)
Lineage: Eukaryota; Metazoa; Chordata; Mammalia; Carnivora; Felidae
Rfam family: tRNA
About the family: Transfer RNA (tRNA) molecules are approximately 80 nucleotides in length. Their secondary structure includes four short double-helical elements and three loops (D, anti-codon, and T loops).
Source: Rfam
GCCUGGGUGGCUCAGUUGGUGAAGCGUCUGACUUGGGCUCGGAUCGUGAUCUCAGGGUUCGUGGGUUCAAGCCCCGCGUCGGGCU